UACGUAGGUGGCGAGCGUUGUCCGGAUUUACUGGGCGUAAAGGGAGCGUAGGCGGACUUUUAAGUGAGAUGUGAAAUACCCGGGCUUAACUUGGGUGCUGCAUUUCAAACUGGAAGUCUAGAGUGCAGGAGAGGAGAAGGGAAUUCCUAGUGUAGCGGUGAAAUGCGUAGAGAUUAGGAAGAACACCAGUGGCGAAGGCGCUUCUCUGGACUGUAACUGACGCUGAGGCUCGAAAGCGUGGGGAGCAAACAGGAUUAGAUACCCUGGUAGUCCCU
RNAcentral lists this ribosomal RNA (275 nucleotides) under uncultured prokaryote. Its description in RNAcentral is "partial 16S ribosomal RNA". It matches the Rfam family "Bacterial small subunit ribosomal RNA", at positions 524 to 798 of the family's 1533-position model. The record is from RNAcentral.